UAGGGAAUCUUCGGCAAUGGACGAAAGUCUGACCGAGCAACGCCGCGUGAGUGAAGAAGGUUUUCGGAUCGUAAAACUCUGUUGUUAGAGAAGAACAAGGACGUUAGUAACUGAACGUCCCCUGACGGUAUCUAACCAGACAGCCACGGCUAACUACGUGCCAGCAGCCGCGGUAAUACGUAGGUGGCAAGCGUUGUCCGGAUUUAUUGGGCGUAAAGCGAGCGCAGGCGGUUUCUUAAGUCUGAUGUGAAAGCCCCCGGCUCAACCGGGGAGGGUCAUUGGAAACUGGGAGACUUGAGUGCAGAAGAGGAGAGUGGAAUUCCAUGUGUAGCGGUGAAAUGCGUAGAUAUAUGGAGGAACACCAGUGGCGAAGGCGGCUCUCUGGUCUGUAACUGACGCUGAGGCUCGAAAGCGUGGGGAGCAAACAGG
RNAcentral lists this ribosomal RNA (429 nucleotides) under Chloroflexota bacterium. Its description in RNAcentral is "Chloroflexi bacterium partial 16S ribosomal RNA". It matches the Rfam family "Bacterial small subunit ribosomal RNA", at positions 355 to 776 of the family's 1533-position model. The record is from RNAcentral. Lineage: Bacteria; Bacillati; Chloroflexota.